RNAcentral lists this transfer RNA (74 nucleotides) under Rhizobium rosettiformans W3. Its description in RNAcentral is "tRNA-Asp". It matches the Rfam family "tRNA". Rfam says of the family: Transfer RNA (tRNA) molecules are approximately 80 nucleotides in length. Their secondary structure includes four short double-helical elements and three loops (D, anti-codon, and T loops). Lineage: Bacteria; Pseudomonadati; Pseudomonadota; Alphaproteobacteria; Hyphomicrobiales; Rhizobiaceae. The record is from RNAcentral. RNAcentral also lists the same sequence under 1 other name.
GGUCCUGUAGCUCAAUGGGAGAGCAUCCGGUUGUCAACCGGCAGACGAGGGAUCGAAACCCUUCAGGACCGCCA